RNAcentral lists this ribosomal RNA (326 nucleotides) under uncultured organism. RNAcentral's name for it is "SSU rRNA". It matches the Rfam family "Bacterial small subunit ribosomal RNA", at positions 505 to 830 of the family's 1533-position model. The record is from RNAcentral.
GUGCCAGCCGCCGCGGUAAUACGUAGGGUGCGAGCGUUGUCCGGAAUUACUGGGCGUAAAGAGCUCGUAGGUGGUUUGUCGCGUUGUUCGUGAAAWCUCACGGCUUAACUGUGAGCGUGCGGGCGAWACGGGCAGACUAGAGUACUGCAGGGGAGACUGGAAUYCCUGGUGUAGCGGUGGAAUGCGCAGAUAUCAGGAGGAACACCGGUGGCGAAGGCGGGUCUCUGGGCAGUWACUGACGCUGAGGAGCGAAAGCGUGGGGAGCGAACAGGAUUAGAUACCCUGGUAGUCCACGCCGUAAACGGUGGGUACUAGGUGUGGGUUUC